This 432-nucleotide ribosomal RNA is filed under the name uncultured bacterium. Its description in RNAcentral is "partial 16S ribosomal RNA". It matches the Rfam family "Bacterial small subunit ribosomal RNA", at positions 29 to 507 of the family's 1533-position model. The record is from RNAcentral.
GCGAACGCUGGCGGCAGGCCUAACCCAUGCCAGUCGAACGAACUCUUCGGAGUUAGUGGCGGACGGGUGAGUAACACGUGGGAACGUGCCUUUUGGUUCGGAAUAACUCAGGGAAACUUGUGCUAAUACCGAAUGUGCCCUUCGGGGGAAAGAUUUAUCGCCAUUAGAGCGGCCCGCGUCUGAUUAGCUAGUUGGUGAGGUAACGGCUCACCAAGGCGACGAUCAGUAGCUGGUCUGAGAGGAUGACCAGCCACACUGGGACUGAGACACGGCCCAGACUCCUACGGGAGGCAGCAGUGGGGAAUCUUGCGCAAUGGGCGAAAGCCUGACGCAGCCAUGCCGCGUGAAUGAUGAAGGUCUUAGGAUUGUAAAAUUCUUUCACCGGGGACGAUAAUGACGGUACCCGGAGAAGAAGCCCCGGCUAACUUCGUG